Molecule: ribosomal RNA, 467 nt
Filed under: uncultured bacterium
Lineage: Bacteria
Description: bacterial SSU rRNA
Rfam family: Bacterial small subunit ribosomal RNA
Source: RNAcentral
UAGGGAAUAUUGGACAAUGGGUGAGAGCCUGAUCCAGCCAUGCCGCGUGCAGGAAGAAGGCGUUAUGCGUUGUAAACUGCUUUUUGCCAGGGGAUAAAAAGACCGUGCGCGGUUAAUUGAAGGUACCUGGUGAAUAAGCCACGGCUAACUACGUGCCAGCAGCCGCGGUAAUACGUAGGUGGCAAGCGUUGUCCGGAUUUAUUGGGUUUAAAGGGUGCGUAGGUGGCCCUGUAAGUCAGUGGUGAAAUAUCUCAGCUUAACUGAGAGGGUGCCAUUGAUACUGCAGGGCUUGAGUACAGAUGAGGUAGGCGGAAUUGACGGUGUAGCGGUGAAAUGCAUAGAUAUCGUCAAGAACACCGAUAGCGAAGGCAGCUUACCAAGCUGUAGCUGACACUGAGGCACGAAAGUGUGGGGAUCAAACAGGAUUAGACACCCCUGUAGUCCCUGAGCGGGCUGGCAAGGCGCAU